CCUACGGGAGGCAGCAGUGAGGAAUAUUGGUCAAUGGUCGGGAGACUGAACCAGCCAAGCCGCGUGAGGGAGGAAGGUACAGAGUAUCGUAAACCUCUUUUGUCAGGGAACAAAGGCGGGGACGUGUCCCCGGAUGAGUGUACCUGAAGAAAAAGCAUCGGCUAACUCCGUGCCAGCAGCCGCGGUAAUACGGAGGAUGCGAGCGUUAUCCGGAUUUAUUGGGUUUAAAGGGUGCGCAGGCGGUCUGUAAAGUCAGCGGGCAAAGCCCGGGGCUCAACCCCGGCCCGCCGUUGAAACUGGCAGUCUCGAGUUGGAGAGAAGUAUGCGGAAUGCGCGGUGUAGCGGUGAAAUGCAUAGAUAUCGCGCAGAACUCCGAUUGCGAAGGCAGCAUGCCGGCUCCACACUGACGCUGAGGCACGAAAGCGUGGGUAUCGAACAGGAUUAGAUACCCUAGUAGUC
This 459-nucleotide ribosomal RNA is filed under the name uncultured bacterium. RNAcentral describes it as "partial 16S ribosomal RNA". It matches the Rfam family "Bacterial small subunit ribosomal RNA", at positions 338 to 795 of the family's 1533-position model. The record is from RNAcentral.